Non-coding RNA from Oryctolagus cuniculus (rabbit), 5341 nucleotides. Lineage: Eukaryota; Metazoa; Chordata; Mammalia; Lagomorpha; Leporidae. The record is from RefSeq and is a predicted model, not a curated record.
UUUUAGUUCAUCACGUACUUUGGCUCUGAGCUAUUUUAUAAAAAUCAUAUGAGGUAUCAUUUGAGAAGAAAGUGUAUAAGGACCUGUGUGUGUGUGUGUGUGUGUGUAGGGAGGAUUAGUCCUUAUCUUUUACUGUAGGAUGUCACUAGGCAAAUACCAUAUAUUGUUACAGUGAUAAGCUAAGCCUUAGCCUCCCCUGGAAAUAGAAAGGUAAUUAACAGGAGAAACUGCUCAUGGAUUUGAGAGUAGUUGCUCCUGGGGAACAGGAUUCCGGAGCAGGAAGAUGACUUCCGGAAACUGUUUGACCUUUUGAAUUUCCUGCAUUUAUAUAUUCUUUGUUUUUUAUUUUUAUUAUUAUUUUUUUUUAUUUUUUUACAGGCAGAGUGGACAGUGAGAGAGAGAGACAGAGAGAAAGGUCUUCCUUUGCCGUUGGUUCACCCUCCAAUGGCCGCCGCGGCCAGCGCGCUGCAGCCAGCGCACCGCGCUGAUCCGAUGGCAGGAGCCAGGUGCUUCUCCUGGUCUCCCAUGGGGUGCAGGGCCCAAGCACCUGGGCCAUCCUCCACUGCACUCCCUGGCCACAGCAGAGGGCUGGCCUGGAAGAGGGGCAACCGGGACAGAAUCCGGCGCCCCGACCAGGACUAGAACCUGGUGUGCCGGUGCCGCUAGGCGGAGGAUUAGCCUAGUGAGCCGCAGCACCAGCCCUCCGGGCCGGUUUUACAAGAGCACUGACCCCACAGCACGAGGGCCUCACUCUGUGGAUGCAUCUAAUUAGUCCCAAAGCCCUCACCCCCUAAUACCAUCAACCUUGUGGAGUUAGGAUUUCAACAUCCAAAUUUUCUAGAGACAGACAUUUAGACCAUAGCAGAAAGGCUCAAGUCACCCAGUUUAAUACACGCACUAGGAUUCAAACUCACAUCGUUGACUGCAACGCUAAUGGUCCCUACACGUGAACCACACUGGGGAUGCAGAUGCGCCACAGCGACGGGCCCCACUGGAUCACUUGCCCCUGACAAUGACACGGGUUGCAAGGGACCAUAGAGUCAACCUGGCAUUUGGCUGUGAACACCUCAAGAACCAGAUGUGAAGGGACAUGGCGGCCACUGACUGGGGCAUUUGGACCCCUGCUGCUUGCACUUUCUUGCCUGCAUGCCCCUCCCCAGACUACUCUGUGGUGGCCACCAGGGAUAAAAGCAAGCAACCUACUGGCCGCUCCUGGAAGGCGUUGACGGUCAAGUGCAAGUAUCAGCCAAGGGUCCCAGUCCAUGCAGCACAUUUAGCCAAAGAAGGAUGAGCAAGUGGUUCAUGAUGCCAGAGGCUAGGAUCGGGGGUGCUGCUCCCUGGUGGGAGCUUUGAUGAGGGCUCAGAGCCUGGGAGGGGCAUCCCACAGGUUUCACUUGCUCCUACUCAGGUCACAGAUUGACCACAAUGAGUGGCUUCUCUGUCUACGUCUUUUGCUCUGUGACUCCCACCAUGCCAGGCAGUCUUGACUGGCCCCUUAAUUUGGGGCAGCCCUGGGCUCUGUGCACCUCGGACACUACAGGCAAGCCUUGGGGAACCCAGGCGGCUCUGCCUCACAUCCAGCACCUGGGGCAAGCCUCAGGAUGAGUCUCCUGGCACACUGGACUCCAGGGAUCCUUGAGGUAGGACUCCGAUCAGGUUCAGGACAGACAGAGGCUGGCCUGGCUGACUGGAAACCACAAAGUCAAGGUAGAGCUCGGGGGAGGCAGAUACAAGACACGGGCCUUGUGGCUGUGCAAGGCCGCAGUCAUGACACAAAGGCCAUGUCGCUGACCACUGCUCGGUCCUGGUAGGGGCAGAACUUUCUAGGUUGGAGCGGGCAUGGCUGUGUUGAUGGCCACAACUGAUGGCUCUCUGUAGCCACCCUUUGCUGUUGACCCCAGCUGCAGCCAUCAGCAGUGGAGGCUGUGUCCCCACCUCUGGAUCUGGGCUGGACCUUAUGACUUGCUUUGGCCCGGAGAACAUAGCUCAGGGGCCAGUGUGGCAGCUUCUCUGGGCUAGGUCUUGUAGGGAAGGCAACAGUCUCUUUGUACCCACCUUAGGGUUUCAACCUGUGCUCUUUAACCAGAUGGCCAGAGAAAGCAAGCUGGCGAUGCCAGCAGUAAGAAAUCCUGGGAAGCGGCAGUGACAAGUAACUCAAAGCCGUGGCUUUGCCCGCCAGCUUACACAGCAUCUUUGAGGAGAACAAUACGUUUACAGAGAAAGGAGCGGGCGGAGCAAAGUGGUUUUAGGCUUUUAAGGGUGGGAAGCCGUGCAAGGUGAAUCUAUGAGAGGACAUUAGCGGAGAAAAGCUUGUCUGCAGAUUCCCCUGGGGUCCUCUCUGGGGCUGAUGAGAUUUAGCGAUGCCUGCAGCAAAGGAGAAUUUAUAUCCUACCUCUAGACAGACGAGGGGGAGGGCGGAGACAGCUUUCCUGGCAUUGGCGACUUCUUAAUCGCCUUCGGUGGAACAUGAUGUUUAUGUCAAAGAGGCCCAUUUUGGGGUGACACAACCUGAUUUCCUUCAACCUCAAGAGAGGCUGCAUGCUUGCCCAUCUCUUGGGACCCCUGCCUGUGACAGGGAAACAAACACAGCAGCUGUUUCAUCGAGCUGUCCCCUCCAGGCUGACCCCGAGCAGCCAGCCUCUCACCAGCCCGGAGACCAAUGGGCACCUGCCACUCUGCCACGUUCUCCUGGCCAGAGCAAGUCACAGGGCCGGCCCGGACUCAGAUGGAGAAAUGGCCUCCAGCUCUUGAGAGGAGGUGCAGCGCUUUGUUUUUCGAAAGAAUCAACUCUGCUUCAUGUGUUUUAUUUUGUUGUCCGUUCUUCCACAGACUUCGAGUUUCAGCUUUGUAGAGGAUAGAUGUUCCAGCCUCCACUGACAUAACUACCUAAUAUUUAAAUCAACCAAUACCAUACCUAGAAAGACAAGUAAGUCUCAUGAAUAACACAUAUUUUAAGACAAAAAAGUAAUGUGUUUCUUAACUCCCAGAACAUAAUAUAUCAGUAGAAUUUUAAAAACGAAAUUAAAAGAAACAGGUAGGGACCAGCGCUGUGGCGUAGCGGGUAAAGCCGCCGCCUUCAGUGCUGGCAUCCCAUAUGGGCGCCAGUUUGAGUUCCAGCUGCUCCACUUCGGAUCUAGCUCUCUGCUAUGGCCUGGGAAAGCAGUGGAAGAUGACCCAAGUCCUUGGGCCCCUGCUCCCACAUGAGACAUGGAAGAAACUCCUGGCUUCAGAUCGGCACAGCUCUGGCCGUUGCACUGGGGAGUGAACCAGUGGAUGGAAGACCGACCUCUCUCUCUCUCUCUCUCUCUCUCUGCCUCUUGCUGGCUCUCUGUAGCUCUGCCUUUAAAAUAAAUAAAUAAAUCUUUUAAAAAAACAAACAAAAAAGCAACAACUAAAAAUCAUUUUAGCCAUAAUAUUCUGCUUACCUCUAUACUAUGAUUUUAACAUGUAAUCAAUAUAAAAAUUAAUGAUACAUCUUAGUCUUCAAAAUCCAGUGAGCGUGCCACACUGACAGCAGGUCUCCAUUCAGACCAGCCUUAUUUCUGGCACUCAGUGGCCACAAGUGGCUGGUGACUGUAUUGGACAGUGCAGGGUUGACACUCCAUUCUUGUUCCUUUCUUAAAACAUUUUUAUUUGUUUAUUUAAGAGGCAGAGAGACAGAGACACACAUACAGAGUUCCCAUCCUCUGAUGACUCCCCAAAUGCCCACGAUGGACCCUAGCUGAGCCCCAAGCCAGGAGCCAGAAACUCAAUCUGGGUCUUUCAUGUGGGUGGCAGGAGCCGGGUUAUUGAGUCAUCACCUGCAGCACCCCAGAGUCUGCACUAGCAGCUCCAGGAAGCUGGGGUUAGGAACUAGAGCCUGGAGUCGCAUCCGACACUCUGGUGUGGGACGUACAUAACUUAACUGCUGGGCCAAAUGCUCGCCCCCUGUCAUUGCAUUUUUAAACCCUCCUUGCCUUAGGAUAUUUCUAUAUCCAAAUCUCACUAGAGUGGACUACUGGAGAGGAGCACUCCACUUCAUGUCUCCACACUUUGGAAGCACAAAGAACCCACAGAAGUUUGCCUGUGCGAUUGCUUCUAUGCCUUCAAAUUCCGAGCCACUCUCAGCCUUUAGCCUAUGUGAGAAGAAAGUCAGACAUAGAGACUUCCCAUCACAUAGCCCAGAGCACGUGCUGCGUGGGCAGAACUUGUCUUCUCUCUCGGUUACCGACAUUCAGAUAACAUUGACCACUUCUCCGCGUCUGUUUCUUGUGCAUGGAUCCAUGAGAAUCUUGCCACAGCUCAGGGAAGAAUUGUUCCUCCCGAUUUAAGAGAUCAGUUGCGAGUUUCCAUGUGUCAGCCCAGUGCCAGGCCCCAGGGACACAAUCGGGGACAUGGCUGCUGUGGGAGCCCCUACAUCAAUCAUCCCACAGAUAAGCAUGCACUUGAUAAGUGUUGAUUGUGCCUUCAGGAAACAGGGGUGAUGGCGGAGGGCAACGCACUGUAGAAUGGGGAGGCAAGCAAGCUCUCUCUGCAGGGAAACCAUGGUUUGAACAAAUGACGAUGAACGGGAGUUAAUCAAGCGCAGGACAAAGAGGCAGAGGCAGAGAACAGCAAGAACGGGGUCUUGACGCAGGAAGCCUGCACUCUCCUUUAGAACAGAAAGGCUUCUUGGCAAAGCAAGAGACUUGAUCCUGGGAGUCCAGGCUCAUGUGUUAGAAAAAGACCCAAGGAGGUGGCCCAGUUGUGUCUGUAAAAUUCCUAAAAGUAGAAUUGCUGGGCUGAAGAGUCUCCAUGUUCCAGAUAGGAAUCUGCCAAAGCACUCUCAAAGCAAGAGAACUCUCUGGGACAGGGUCAGGAAUGCUGUUCACCCGCUCUUGCCAAAUGCUCCCCCAGCCAACACCACCUGCACGUGGCUAAAUCGAUGGCUUUCAUUUUUACUUAGCUUAUGAGUGAAGAGUGGUAUUUUCCUGUUCCUAAAUUUGCAUUUAUUCAAUUCCUAUGGCAGUUGGGCAUCUUUUCAUGUUUAUUAAUCACCUGCAUUCCUUUCUCUUUAUUCAAGGACGUUGGCCAUUUUUCUGUUCAAUUACUGAUCCCUUUUUUGAUUAUGCUUUACUAUUUUAGUUUCUCUAAUCUCAUUUGUUUUUGAACCCACUGUAGGGUGUUUUCUCUGUAAAACUUCUUUUUUAAAAAAAUUGUAUUUAUUGAAAUGUAACUGAUAGAUGAUAUCCACAUAUAUUUAGUGUGUAGAAUUUAAUUCAUUUGGGUAUAUGCAUACACCUGUAAAAUCGGGUCACACAAUCAUCCCCAAAGGUUUUGCCCUAAUUAUUAUAGCAUUAAAUGUGAAUUAUUUCCUUCUGGC